Molecule: ribosomal RNA, 440 nt
Filed under: uncultured bacterium
Lineage: Bacteria
Description: partial 16S ribosomal RNA
Rfam family: Bacterial small subunit ribosomal RNA
Source: RNAcentral
AGGGAAUCUUCCACAAUGGACGCAAGUCUGAUGGAGCAACGCCGCGUGAGUGAAGAAGGUCUUCGGAUCGUAAAGCUCUGUUGUUGGUGAAGAAGGAUAGAGGCAGUAACUGGUCUUUAUUUGACGGUAAUCAACCAGAAAGUCACGGCUAACUACGUGCCAGCAGCCGCGGUAAUACGUAGGUGGCAAGCGUUGUCCGGAUUUAUUGGGCGUAAAGCGAGCGCAGGCGGAAUGAUAAGUCUGAUGUGAAAGCCCACGGCUCAACCGUGGAACUGCAUCGGAAACUGUCAUUCUUGAGUGCAGAAGAGGAGAGUGGAACUCCAUGUGUAGCGGUGGAAUGCGUAGAUAUAUGGAAGAACACCAGUGGCGAAGGCGGCUCUCUGGUCUGCAACUGACGCUGAGGCUCGAAAGCAUGGGUAGCGAACAGGAUUAGAUACCCU